AUUAGCAGUGUGAAGAUGGACUAAUACAAAGAGGAACUAGGGGAGCUUGGAGGAACCAGAGUCUCAAUCAGGGAUUCAGGUGAAGUCUCUGUUGCAAACCCUUGAGCAGGAAGCCACUUAGGCUGCAGUUGCAGCCCUGUGCCAGGGCAGUGCUUGGCCAGUGACCUCUAACUCCCUGAGGCUCCUUGUGAGGGAGCAACUCCUGAAGUCACAUGGCGAAGGUGCUCACAGGACAUGAUUCUUAGGAUGAUCCCACCUGUCGAGACCACAGCCUGGGACUCACUGUCACAGGUUAGUGAUGAACGCGGAACCUUAAUGAAACCGCCAGCGACAGCUGUGCCAUACUGCAAGUCACCACUAGGGGGAAGCAGAAUACAAGCAUCCAGAAGGUUCCAGAGAGCUGCCUCACUUCUGCCACCACGUGAGGACACAGAGAGAAGACUCACAUGUGAAUCAGAAAGCAGCCCUCAUCGGACACCAAAUCCAUCAGUACCUUGACCUUGGACUUACUUCCCACCCUCCAGAACUGUGGGAAAUACAUUUCUGUUGUCUGUGAGUUACUCAAUCUAAGGCAUUUUGUUAUAGCAGCCGGAACAGACUAAGAUACCAGCUCAGGCUCCCCUCUUGAGCUCCACACAUGUCUAACCAAAUGCUGACAAUCCAUCUCUAUCCUGUCAACCUGCCUGUAAGUCAUAUUUGACACAUUCAAAAUCGAGUUUAUCAUGCCUUUGCACCUCCCAAACCAGCUCCUCCCCUCAUAUGUCCUAUCACCACAAGUGCCCAGAAGCGGAGUGGCACAUGGAAGGAAGCGAUCUGGGCGAUGGGGGUGGAAUUAGAUGGCAGAGAUUUGUGACAAGCAUAGAAGACCACCCAGCACGCUCAGGGGGCAGCAUCAAUCAUAAGUCACAUCACAGCAGAGCCAUGGUGUUCGAGUCCCAACAGGCAGAGGGAGAGAGGGUGAGGGGGAGAGAGAGAGAGAGAGAGAAAGAAGGAGAGAGAGGGAGAGAGGGAGAGAGAGAGACAGAUGCAGGGACCUCCGACCCAUGCAGGUGGGCUUGGGAUCAUGAGAGCAUAUGAGGAUAGACCCCAGGCUGGCUUCACUGAGACGCCACCCAGAGAAAGGCAGCUGGAGGACAUGAGGUGAGAAUGGAGCCCUUGCCACCUUCCUGGAGCUCCAAGCCAGUCACUCUCACCAGGGGCCCAGAGGCCAUUGGGGCAAACAGCAUUGACACUCUUUCAAACCCUGCUGGCCACUUCCCUCCCUAGGGGAGCAGCAGAGAAGCCCACAGGUGGCCGGUGCUCAGUCAGCACAGCUGAGGUGAGCUGGCAAAACUCCUGGCACUCUCUGUCUCCGAGAAUUGGCUGGGGCAUCUGAUGGUGGUUGCAGAGCCUCAUCUCCCCUCUGUUGAGCUUAGCGGAGAUCAGGCUCAGCAGAUGUGCUCAGGUCCCCAGGAGGCUGGGCUGGUUACAGUCACUGGGGACCAGGUGCUCCCCUUUUGAACCAAGGUCAUUUCUCCCAACGAGGGAGCUUCCAUAAUCACAGGGAUGUCCCCUGACCCCAUCCCUACAAACAUGUAGAGUGCAAAGGAGCACGGGGCAGGGGUGGGCUCUUAAUUCCUGGCAGGGAGCUGCUGCCGUCUGAUCCGAGUUGUGGGACAGCACUGGGUGUGUGCUCCUACUUCCUGGCUUAUAGGUUUCCUUCUCUGUGUGGCACUAGCAUGUGUGUCCUUGACCCCUUAGCAGAGAGGAGCCAAUUCACUCUGUCUGUGAAGCCAAAACACAAGGGACCUGCAAGUUUUGAACCCUUCUCUCCACCAAGAUGUGAGAUGUAUACUGGCAGAUCCCUGAGAUCCCACUAGGCUCAGGCCCUCCACUCACCUGCCUCUGCUGGGCUCAAGCCUCCCUCUGGCACCUGCAGCACAGAACAGCCUCCUCCAGCCUGGCUCCACGCCCGCCCCGCCCCCAUCUUCCUCCUCCCUACCCACUGGAAUGAGCUUCCCAAAAGGCAGAUCUUACCAGGUGUCACUCCUCCUCAGAACCCUUAUCAAUCUCUGCUUGCCUUUUCCAUUCUCUUCUCUCCAUCCCUUUCUACAUACGGGUUUCCUCCCCAGUUUCACUGCGACAGGGCCAUUGCCCUUGCAGGUCUCCCUGCUGUUUCUGAAUACACGGCUUCUUCCUGGAUUUGUUCUCUUACUCUCUUCCCUGCUAGAAGCCGUGGCUAACCUGUUCUUAUCUUUCCUGACUGAGGUGGGCCCAUUCCUCCACUCUGUGCUCAUAGCAGCCUCCUCUAACCUCCAUUUGAGCCUUUGUUUUAUUGCAGGGGUCCCCAACCCCUGGGCCAUGGGCUGGUACCAGUCUGUGGCCUGUUAGGAACGAGGCCACACAGCAGGAGGUGAAUGGCAGGCAGGUGAGUGAAGCUUCACCUGUAUCUGCAGCUGCUCCCCAUGGCUCACAUCACCGCCUGAGUUCCGCCUCCUGUCAGAUCAGCUGGGCAUUGGAUUCUUAUAGGAGCACGAACCCUAUUGCAAACUGCACAUACGAGGGACCUGGGUUCCCUGCUCCUUAUCAGAAUCGAAUGCCUGAUGAUCUGUCACUCUUGAUGAUCUGUCACUGUCUCCCAUCACCCCCAGAUGGGACCGUCUAGUUUCAGGAAAACAAGCUCAGGGCUCCCACUGAUUCUACAUUAUGGUGAGUUGUAUAAUUAUUUCAUUAUAUAUUACAAUGUAAUCAUAAUACAAAUAACCUGCACAAUAAAUAUAAUGCAUUUGAAUCA
Symphalangus syndactylus (siamang) is the source of this 2773-nucleotide long non-coding RNA. RefSeq lists it as uncharacterized. The record is from RefSeq and is a predicted model, not a curated record. Lineage: Eukaryota; Metazoa; Chordata; Mammalia; Primates; Hylobatidae.